GAAUUUAAUAUAAUUUUAUUAAAUUAAUUUAUUAAAUAUAUAAUAAGAGAAUAUUUAUUUGGGAGGAUUGUUAAAUAUAAAUAACUUUAAUUAAAUAAACAUAUAAAUUAAUAAAUUAAGAAAGAAUUAAUUACCUUGGGGAUAACAGCGUAAUAUUUUUAGAGAGUUCAUAUUAAUAAAAAUGAUUGC
Molecule: ribosomal RNA, 189 nt
Filed under: Solenopsis sp. 13 GR-2021
Lineage: Eukaryota; Metazoa; Arthropoda; Insecta; Hymenoptera; Formicidae
Description: partial large subunit ribosomal RNA
Source: RNAcentral